RNAcentral lists this unclassified non-coding RNA (229 nucleotides) under Hevea brasiliensis (rubber tree). The record is from RNAcentral. Lineage: Eukaryota; Viridiplantae; Streptophyta; Magnoliopsida; Malpighiales; Euphorbiaceae.
GCCAAAACCAAACCAGUGCGCUAAAAAUGUUAAUUUGAAUUUGCAAUAGAGCUUCCUAUUCUGCAGGCCUUAGAGAUGGAAGAUAAAGGAGAAGGGGAAACAGAUUUCACCGUCAUUGAAACAGCCUCAGAUACCCUCGAUAGCUCUAUCAAAUUCCAUCUUGUUACUGAUAUCUUAGGUUUCGUCCUCUUUAUGCACCAGCAAAUCCCUUCCUUACUGCAGGAUCUCA